This 2924-nucleotide ribosomal RNA is filed under the name Shigella flexneri. RNAcentral describes it as "23S ribosomal RNA". It matches the Rfam family "Bacterial large subunit ribosomal RNA". RNAcentral also lists the same sequence under 1 other name. The record is from RNAcentral. Lineage: Bacteria; Pseudomonadati; Pseudomonadota; Gammaproteobacteria; Enterobacterales; Enterobacteriaceae.
GGGUUGUGAGGUUAAGCGACUAAGCGUACACGGUGGAUGCCCUGGCAGUCAGAGGCGAUGAAGGACGUGCUAAUCUGCGAUAAGCGUCGGUAAGGUGAUAUGAACCGUUAUAACCGGCGAUUUCCGAAUGGGGAAACCCAGUGUGAUUCGUCACACUAUCAUUAACUGAAUCCAUAGGUUAAUGAGGCGAACCGGGGGAACUGAAACAUCUAAGUACCCCGAGGAAAAGAAAUCAACCGAGAUUCCCCCAGUAGCGGCGAGCGAACGGGGAGCAGCCCAGAGCCUGAAUCAGUGUGUGUGUUAGUGGAAGCGUCUGGAAAGGCGUGCGAUACAGGGUGACAGCCCCGUACACAAAAAUGCACAUACUGUGAGCUCGAUGAGUAGGGCGGGACACGUGGUAUCCUGUCUGAAUAUGGGGGACCAUCCUCCAAGGCUAAAUACUCCUGACUGACCGAUAGUGAACCAGUACCGUGAGGGAAAGGCGAAAAGAACCCCGGCGAGGGGAGUGAAAAAGAACCUGAAACCGUGUACGUACAAGCAGUGGGAGCACGCUUAGGCGUGUGACUGCGUACCUUUUGUAUAAUGGGUCAGCGACUUAUAUUCUGUAGCAAGGUUAACCGAAUAGGGGAGCCGAAGGGAAACCGAGUCUUAACUGGGCGUUAAGUUGCAGGGUAUAGACCCGAAACCCGGUGAUCUAGCCAUGGGCAGGUUGAAGGUUGGGUAACACUAACUGGAGGACCGAACCGACUAAUGUUGAAAAAUUAGCGGAUGACUUGUGGCUGGGGGUGAAAGGCCAAUCAAACCGGGAGAUAGCUGGUUCUCCCCGAAAGCUAUUUAGGUAGCGCCUCGUGAAUUCAUCUCCGGGGGUAGAGCACUGUUUCGGCAAGGGGGUCAUCCCGACUUACCAACCCGAUGCAAACUGCGAAUACCGGAGAAUGUUAUCACGGGAGACACACGGCGGGUGCUAACGUCCGUCGUGAAGAGGGAAACAACCCAGACCGCCAGCUAAGGUCCCAAAGUCAUGGUUAAGUGGGAAACGAUGUGGGAAGGCCCAGACAGCCAGGAUGUUGGCUUAGAAGCAGCCAUCAUUUAAAGAAAGCGUAAUAGCUCACUGGUCGAGUCGGCCUGCGCGGAAGAUGUAACGGGGCUAAACCAUGCACCGAAGCUGCGGCAGCGACGCUUAUGCGUUGUUGGGUAGGGGAGCGUUCUGUAAGCCUGUGAAGGUGUGCUGUGAGGUAUGCUGGAGGUAUCAGAAGUGCGAAUGCUGACAUAAGUAACGAUAAAGCGGGUGAAAAGCCCGCUCGCCGGAAGACCAAGGGUUCCUGUCCAACGUUAAUCGGGGCAGGGUGAGUCGACCCCUAAGGCGAGGCCGAAAGGCGUAGUCGAUGGGAAACAGGUUAAUAUUCCUGUACUUGGUGUUACUGCGAAGGGGGGACGGAGAAGGCUAUGUUGGCCGGGCGACGGUUGUCCCGGUUUAAGCGUGUAGGCUGGUUUUCCAGGCAAAUCCGGAAAAUCAAGGCCGAGGCGUGAUGACGAGGCACUACGGUGCUGAAGCAACAAAUGCCCUGCUUCCAGGAAAAGCCUCUAAGCAUCAGGUAACAUCAAAUCGUACCCCAAACCGACACAGGUGGUCAGGUAGAGAAUACCAAGGCGCUUGAGAGAACUCGGGUGAAGGAACUAGGCAAAAUGGUGCCGUAACUUCGGGAGAAGGCACGCUGAUACGUAGGUGAAGCGACUUGCUCGUGGAGCUGAAAUCAGUCGAAGAUACCAGCUGGCUGCAACUGUUUAUUAAAAACACAGCACUGUGCAAACACGAAAGUGGACGUAUACGGUGUGACGCCUGCCCGGUGCCGGAAGGUUAAUUGAUGGGGUUAGCGCAAGCGAAGCUCUUGAUCGAAGCCCCGGUAAACGGCGGCCGUAACUAUAACGGUCCUAAGGUAGCGAAAUUCCUUGUCGGGUAAGUUCCGACCUGCACGAAUGGCGUAAUGAUGGCCAGGCUGUCUCCACCCGAGACUCAGUGAAAUUGAACUCGCUGUGAAGAUGCAGUGUACCCGCGGCAAGACGGAAAGACCCCGUGAACCUUUACUAUAGCUUGACACUGAACAUUGAGCCUUGAUGUGUAGGAUAGGUGGGAGGCUUUGAAGUGUGGACGCCAGUCUGCAUGGAGCCGACCUUGAAAUACCACCCUUUAAUGUUUGAUGUUCUAACGUGGACCCGUGAUCCGGGUUGCGGACAGUGUCUGGUGGGUAGUUUGACUGGGGCGGUCUCCUCCUAAAGAGUAACGGAGGAGCACGAAGGUUGGCUAAUCCUGGUCGGACAUCAGGAGGUUAGUGCAAUGGCAUAAGCCAGCUUGACUGCGAGCGUGACGGCGCGAGCAGGUGCGAAAGCAGGUCAUAGUGAUCCGGUGGUUCUGAAUGGAAGGGCCAUCGCUCAACGGAUAAAAGGUACUCCGGGGAUAACAGGCUGAUACCGCCCAAGAGUUCAUAUCGACGGCGGUGUUUGGCACCUCGAUGUCGGCUCAUCACAUCCUGGGGCUGAAGUAGGUCCCAAGGGUAUGGCUGUUCGCCAUUUAAAGUGGUACGCGAGCUGGGUUUAGAACGUCGUGAGACAGUUCGGUCCCUAUCUGCCGUGGGCGCUGGAGAACUGAGGGGGGCUGCUCCUAGUACGAGAGGACCGGAGUGGACGCAUCACUGGUGUUCGGGUUGUCAUGCCAAUGGCACUGCCCGGUAGCUAAAUGCGGAAGAGAUAAGUGCUGAAAGCAUCUAAGCACGAAACUUGCCCCGAGAUGAGUUCUCCCUGACCCUUUAAGGGUCCUGAAGGAACGUUGAAGACGACGACGUUGAUAGGCCGGGUGUGUAAGCGCAGCGAUGCGUUGAGCUAACCGGUACUAAUGAACCGUGAGGCUUAACCUUACAACGCCGAAG